Molecule: long non-coding RNA, 1013 nt
Filed under: Neogobius melanostomus (round goby)
Lineage: Eukaryota; Metazoa; Chordata; Actinopteri; Gobiiformes; Gobiidae
Description: lncRNA (ENSNMLG00000020806.1)
Source: RNAcentral
ACUGAACCCCGUGUGUCAUGUCAAUAGCGACGUAUCGAAAGUUUGGGAGCGUUCGCAGCAGCAAAGCGAAAACGUAGAACUGACACGUUUAUAGCAAUGGACUGUUCUAAUUGUUGCACAAAGCGAAUAAAGUCAUGAACGAAGCGUUCUGCAGCUUUAUAAAUGUUGUAAGAGUGCUUAUUGAUGAUAUUCGUGAAUUCAUUUCGCAGCUUAUUUCCGUGUUUUGUCAAACUCCUCCUACCCCUUCGUCUGAAGUGUGCAUCUGAAAAACCCUCGCUGGAAGGGCUAUGUGGCCCUCUCCCUCACCCCUACCCCUCACCGCAAAAUAGAAUUGGGACACCCCUUCGUCUCUCGUGAACGCGCACAACGAAGGGAAAGGGCCAAGCGGAGGGCUAAGGGGGAGAAUUGAGAUUGGGCCUAACUGUGGUUAUGCGGCCUGCUGCUGUACUGGUAUCAAUCACUGCGAAUUUUCAUCUGUGUCACGUGACUCGGCAUCGGAGCAGCGUGCUCACGUUCAGGCGCUCGCGCUCUGGCUAAUGCUAAACGGCUAACCAUGUGGCUUUUGCUUUUACAACAUCUUCUGCAAAGCUGCUGUCAGCGUGCCGUGCCUGAUAAAGCACGCACAAAACUUCCAAGGGGUCUGCUGCAGUGCAAGGCUGGACAACUCAGUCACGCGCCAGCCAAUGGUUUCCUGUCUGGAAAUGGAGCGUACAGAAGAUAGACGAACAAAACGCGGCGAUAAGGGAGAAAUAGUUCUGUCCCGGAGCCAGAUGGCACUAUUCGAUGAUGUCUGGCCCGCAGUCAAGGACAACUGUCCACCCGCUGAGCCAGAGACAGAGCUCCGAAUGGCCCGAGCUGAACACGCCCUGGGAUGUUUGUCCUUGUCUGCAGCCUGUCAGCUGUCCGCCAUGUGGAGACAGCCUGAUCUGACUGGUGUAAGAAAGAGAAGGGGAGCAAACAUUUCUCCACUACUCCCUCAGUCGCUUCACAAAGCUUCAGAAAAAAAAUGCUGA